UACAGAGGUCUCAAGCGUUGUUCGGAUUCAUUGGGCGUAAAGGGCGCGUAGGCGGCGCGGUAAGUCACUUGUGAAAUCUCUGAGCUUAACUCAGAACGGCCAAGUGAUACUGCAGUGCUAGAGUGCGGAAGGGGCAAUCGGAAUUCUUGGUGUAGCGGUGAAAUGCGUAGAUAUCAGGAGGAACACCUGAGGUGAAGACGGGUUGCUGGGCCGACACUGACGCUGAGUGCGCGAAAGCCAGGGGAGCAAACGGG
Molecule: ribosomal RNA, 254 nt
Filed under: uncultured bacterium
Lineage: Bacteria
Description: partial 16S ribosomal RNA
Rfam family: Bacterial small subunit ribosomal RNA
Source: RNAcentral